ACAAGCUCUGCGACCCCAUAACAGAGAUAGAGGAACACCUUUUCGAGGCCUUUGGAAGCCGUUGUCCGGUUCUCACAGGCAGUUACAGGGUGAAAAUUGUGCUAGACGAGGCAUCCUCUCCUAGAGAUGCAGAACACGUACAAAACAUCAUCAUGCGACUGAAUUUCACAGACAAUGACAAGCCUGUGGGUUGCACGUCACUCGUUUUUGAUUCCGACACUAAUUCUGUUCAUUGACAACCACGGUGCAGCUACGCUUUUUGCCCACAAAAGGUGCGCGAUGUCUUUGUCGCUAGGCAAACGGCAUGCAGUCCCUACAAGGUAGCUUCGUGAAAGAACGUGCUUUUUUUCGUGCCGAAUUGCAUUACAACCCCGCUGUUCUU
Rhipicephalus sanguineus (brown dog tick) is the source of this 382-nucleotide long non-coding RNA. RefSeq lists it as uncharacterized. The transcript is spliced from 2 exons. Lineage: Eukaryota; Metazoa; Arthropoda; Arachnida; Ixodida; Ixodidae. The record is from RefSeq and is a predicted model, not a curated record.